UACGUAGGGCGCAAGCGUUCUCCGGAAUUAUUGGGCGUAAAGAGCUCGUAGGCGGUUUGUCGCGUCUGCCGUGAAAGUCCGGGGCUCAACUCCGGAUCUGCGGUGGGUACGGGCAGACUAGAGUGAUGUAGGGGAGACUGGAAUUCCUGGUGUAGCGGUGAAAUGCGCAGAUAUCAGGAGGAACACCGAUGGCGAAGGCAGGUCUCUGGGCAUUAACUGACGCUGAGGAGCGAAAGCAUGGGGAGCGAACAGG
Molecule: ribosomal RNA, 253 nt
Filed under: uncultured bacterium
Lineage: Bacteria
Description: partial 16S ribosomal RNA
Rfam family: Bacterial small subunit ribosomal RNA
Source: RNAcentral